Molecule: ribosomal RNA, 450 nt
Filed under: uncultured bacterium
Lineage: Bacteria
Description: partial 16S ribosomal RNA
Rfam family: Bacterial small subunit ribosomal RNA
Source: RNAcentral
GUGGGGAAUAUUGGACAAUGGGCGCAAGCCUGAUCCAGCCAUACCGCGUGGGUGAAGAAGGCCUUCGGGUUGUAAAGCCCUUUUGUUGGGAAAGAAAUCCUAUCGAUUAAUACUCGGUGGGGAUGACGGUACCCAAAGAAUAAGCACCGGCUAACUUCGUGCCAGCAGCCGCGGUAAUACGAAGGGUGCAAGCGUUACUCGGAAUUACUGGGCGUAAAGCGCGCGUAGGUGGUUGUUUAAGUCUGCUGUGAAAGCCCUGGGCUCAACCUGGGAAUUGCAGUGGAUACUGGGCAACUAGAGUGUGGUAGAGGGAUGCGGAAUUUCUGGUGUAGCAGUGAAAUGCGUAGAGAUCAGAAGGAACAUCCGUGGCGAAGGCGGCAUCCUGGGCCAACACUGACACUGAGGCACGAAAGCGUGGGGAGCAAACAGGAUUAGAAACCCCGGUAGUCC